RNAcentral lists this ribosomal RNA (253 nucleotides) under uncultured bacterium. RNAcentral describes it as "partial 16S ribosomal RNA". It matches the Rfam family "Bacterial small subunit ribosomal RNA", at positions 524 to 776 of the family's 1533-position model. The record is from RNAcentral.
UACGUAGGGUGCGAGCGUUGUCCGGAAUUAUUGGGCGUAAAGGGCUCGUAGGCGGUUUGUCGCGUCGGGAGUGAAAACAUCCAGCUUAACUGGGUGCUUGCUUUCGAUACGGGCAGACUAGAGGUAUGCAGGGGAGAACGGAAUUCCUGGUGUAGCGGUGAAAUGCGUAGAGAUCCGGAGGAACACCAGAGGCGAAGGCGGCUUACUGGGCUGACCCUGACGCUGAGCCGCGAAAGCCAGGGGAGCGAACAGG